This 414-nucleotide ribosomal RNA is filed under the name uncultured bacterium. RNAcentral's name for it is "bacterial SSU rRNA". It matches the Rfam family "Bacterial small subunit ribosomal RNA", at positions 355 to 767 of the family's 1533-position model. The record is from RNAcentral.
UAAGGAAUAUUGGUCAAUGGACGCAAGUCCGAACCAGCCAUGCCGCGUGAAGGAUGAAGGUCCUCUGGAUUGUAAACUUCUUUUAUCUGGGACGAAAACGGGAUUUUUAUCUCAAUUGACGGUACCAGAGGAAUAAGCACCGGCUAACUCCGUGCCGGCAGCCGCGGUAAUACGGAGGGUGCGAGCGUUAUCCGGAUUUACUGGGUUUAAAGGGUGCGUAGGUGGGCUUAUAAGUCAGUGGUGAAAUCUCCGAGCUUAACUUGGACACUGCCGUUGAUACUAUAGGUCUUGAAUUAUCUGGAGGUAAGCGGAAUAUGUCAUGUAGCGGUGAAAUGCUUAGAUAUGACAUAGAACACCAAUUGCGAAGGCAGCUUACUACAUAUAAAUUGACGCUGAGGCACGAAAGCGUGGGGA